This 905-nucleotide ribosomal RNA is filed under the name uncultured bacterium. RNAcentral's name for it is "bacterial SSU rRNA". It matches the Rfam family "Bacterial small subunit ribosomal RNA", at positions 12 to 918 of the family's 1533-position model. The record is from RNAcentral.
UUUGAUCCUGGCUMAGGAUGAACGCUAGCGGCAGGCCUAAUACAUGCAAGUCGAGGGGCAGCGGGAGUAGCAAUACUUGCCGGCGACCGGCGCACGGGUGCGUAACACGUAUACAAUCUACCUUUAACAGGGGGAUAGCCCGGAGAAAUCCGGAUUAAUACCCCAUAAUAUCAGAAUCGGCAUCGAUUUUGUUUGAAAACUACGGUGGUUAAAGAUGAGUAUGCGUCCGAUUAGUUAGUUGGUGAGGUAAUGGCUCACCAAGACCACGAUCAGUAGGGGGUCUGAGAGGAUUAACCCCCACACGGAUACUGAGACACGGAUCCGACUCCUACGGGAGGCAGCAGUAAGGAAUAUUGGACAAUGGGCGAAAGCCUGAUCCAGCCAUGCCGCGUGCAGGAAGAAGGCGCUAUGCGUCGUAAACUGCUUUUACACCGGAGAAAACCCCCUUUCGUGAAAGGGGCUGAUAGUAUGGUGAGAAUAAGCAUCGGCUAACUUCGUGCCAGCAGCCGCGGUAAGACGAAGGAUGCAAGCGUUAUCCGGAUUCAUUGGGUUUAAAGGGAGCGUAGGCGGUCUUAUAAGUCAGUGGUGAAAUCUCCUCGCUUAACGAGGAAACUGCCAUUGAUACUGUAGGACUUGAGUAUAGUUGCUGUGGGCGGAAUAUGACAUGUAGUGGUGAAAUACUUAGAGAUGUCAUAGAACACCGAUUGCGAAGGCAGCUCACAAAACUAUAACUGACGCUGAGGCUCGAAAGUGCGGGGAUCAAACAGGAUUAGAUACCCUGGUAGUCCGCACUGUAAACGAUGAUUACUCGCUGCUAGGGGGCAACUCUUAGUGGCUUAGCGAAAGCGAUAAGUAAUCCACCUGGGGAGUACGCCGGCAACGGUGAACUCAAGGAAUUGACGGGG